This 360-nucleotide ribosomal RNA is filed under the name uncultured bacterium. RNAcentral describes it as "partial 16S ribosomal RNA". It matches the Rfam family "Bacterial small subunit ribosomal RNA", at positions 338 to 696 of the family's 1533-position model. The record is from RNAcentral.
CCUACGGGGGGCAGCAGUGAGGAAUAUUGGUCAAUGGCCGGAAGGCUGAACCAGCCAAGCCGCGUGAAGGACGAAGGUGCAGAGCAUUGUAAACUUCUUUUGUCAAGGGAAAAAAUCAGGCUCGAGAGCCAGACCGAGGGUACGUGAAGAAAAAGCAUCGGCUAACUCCGUGCAAGCAGCCGCGGUAAUACGGAGGAUGCGAGCGUUAUCGGGAUUUAUUGGGUUUAAAGGGUGCGCAGGGGGUCUGUUAAGUCAGCGGUAAAAGCCAGGGGCUAAACCCCGGCGCGCCGUUGAAACUGGCUGUCUCGAGUUGUGGAGAGGUAGGCGGAAUGCGCGGUGUAGCGGUGAAAUGCGUAGAUA